RNAcentral lists this long non-coding RNA (618 nucleotides) under Homo sapiens (human). RNAcentral's name for it is "LNC_000290". Lineage: Eukaryota; Metazoa; Chordata; Mammalia; Primates; Hominidae. The record is from RNAcentral.
UGCUGGUUUCUCUUGGAUGGGAGAAGGGCAGAGUUGGGGUAGGUUAGUUCCUGAGCUCACUCAUCAGCAAUCUCGGUCUCCUGGUGGACGACCACCUUGGUCACUGACAUGUCUGGGUGCUGCUCCUUUGCCUCCUUGAUGGCUUGUACAAGGACCUGAUCAUGGUCAAUAUCAGCAUCUCCUGUGAUCACAAUUCUCUUUUCAAUACGUGUCUCUGAAAUCCCACCUUUUACAGUCUUGGUAAUUUGAGUUGUGGUGGUGCUGCUUGGGGUCUCAGAUGUGAUAGUUUGAGCUGUCAGCAAGACUCCUGGGUCCAAGUCUCCACUGUUGUCGUCAGUCUGGGCAGCCUCAUAAGUGAUGGUCUUGGUCUCAGUGUGGACAAUAGGGACGUCUUUGGUUGGGAUUUCACUUUUCACAGCAUUGGCAUUAUCUGAGAUGGUGACAGUUUGUGUCUUCACCAGGGGAGGUCCUUCUCCUGUGGGGAUUUGCCCAUUGAUGUUAAGAGUUCGGAAGGGUGAGUGAGUGGAUAAGCGUUUAUCCCAUUCACUAGGCCGUGGUUCUGGUACAGACUCCAUGAAGUUCUUUUUCAGCUCACUGAUGCUGGCAUGAUGUUUUUUG